Molecule: ribosomal RNA, 274 nt
Filed under: uncultured bacterium
Lineage: Bacteria
Description: partial 16S ribosomal RNA
Rfam family: Archaeal small subunit ribosomal RNA
Source: RNAcentral
AAACCAGCACCUCAAGUGGUCAGGAUGAUUAUUGGGCCUAAAGCAUCCGUAGCCUGCUCUGUAAGUUUUCGGUUAAAUCUGUAUGCUCAACAUACAGGCUGCCGGGAAUACUGCAGAGCUAGGGAGUGGGAGAGGUAGACGGUACUCGGGAGGAAGUGGUAAAAUGCUUUGAUCUCUCGAUGACCACCUGUGGCGAAGGCGGUCUACCAGAACACGUCCGACGGUGAGGGAUGAAAGCUGGGGGAGCAAACCGGAUUAGAAACCCCGGUAGUCC